GAGCGCAACCCUUGUCCUUAGUUACCAGCACGUUAUGGUGGGCACUCUAAGGAGACGUGCCGGUGACAAACCGGAGGAAGGUGGGGAUGACGUCAAGUCAUCAUGGCCCUUACGGCCAGGGCUACACACGUGCUACAAUGGGGGGUACAGAGGGUUGCCAAGCCGCGAGGUGGAGCUAAUCCCAUAAAACCUCUCGUAGUCCGGAUUGGAGUCUGCAACUCGACUCCAUGAAGUCGGAAUCGCUAGUAAUCGUGGAUCAGAAUGUCACGGUGAAUACGUUCCCGGGUCUU
Molecule: ribosomal RNA, 290 nt
Filed under: uncultured Pseudomonas sp.
Lineage: Bacteria; Pseudomonadati; Pseudomonadota; Gammaproteobacteria; Pseudomonadales; Pseudomonadaceae
Description: partial 16S ribosomal RNA
Rfam family: Bacterial small subunit ribosomal RNA
Source: RNAcentral